Molecule: long non-coding RNA, 900 nt
Organism: Toxorhynchites rutilus septentrionalis
Lineage: Eukaryota; Metazoa; Arthropoda; Insecta; Diptera; Culicidae
Exons: 3
Source: RefSeq, a predicted model, not a curated record
AAAUCAAACAGUUCAAUUUCACAGUUCAAAUCAAACAGUUCAAUUUCACAGUUCAAAUCAAACAGUUCAAGUUUCAGUCAGUUCAAUUUCACAGUUCAAUUUCACAGUUCAAAUCAAACAGUUCAAAUCAAACAGUUCAAAUCAGAAGUCUAAUUCGUUAGUUCAAAAUCAAAGUUCGUAGUUCAAAGUUCAAUUCGUGAUCCGAAAAUCCACCAAGCGUUGACAACCAGGCGUCACGCAUCAGAAUCCGGAUACACCCAAGCGUUGGCAACCAGGCGCCACGCUAUAAAAGCAGUGACAUGUUAGGCGUGAAGCUAACCACUCGACCACGGGAGCAACAAUUUUGGCUGGAUCUUUGAAUACAAAUGGCCAAUACAGCUUGUUCGCGACGAUCGCGACCCGAGCUAUAAAACGAGCGGAGAAGAGGAGAAGAAAGGAUGAUGCAAUCGCAUGCACACAUAGCAUAUGUAGUGCAGUAUACACGGGCCGAAAGUUGUGCAGUCCACUGAUGAUUCAACAAGAGCCAAAGGUGGUACCGCUCAUGACAACUCUACACGAGCUGAUGAUUGCGCCGGCUAGUGAUCAUUCUAUCCUGGAUUCCUCGAGUCGAAAAAGACGCACCACGCUAGAUAUGGAGUGCAGACUAGGGAGUCGUUGCUGAUUAACGGUCAGCUGCAUCCCAAUAGGAAGUAUCCCAUGUCGGGCACAUGUACAGAGCACUGAAGACUGCAACAUCCCAAUUAUGAGAACACUUGUAAUACUAACCUCGAGCCAACCGCGAGUAAUCGGUUACAUAUUACUAACAUAGUUGUAAGCACACAUUGUCAAAAUAUUGAACUCCCGGCCCGUUAGGCUGACGCCAUAUGAGCCUUAAUAAAAAUAUAUAUUUUGGUGCAUGAA